RNAcentral lists this long non-coding RNA (483 nucleotides) under Helianthus annuus (common sunflower). RNAcentral describes it as "sRNA HanXRQr2_Chr12g0554581". The record is from RNAcentral. Lineage: Eukaryota; Viridiplantae; Streptophyta; Magnoliopsida; Asterales; Asteraceae.
GGUUUUUUUAGGUUUUUGGGGGGUGGGGGGGGUUAGGUUUUUUUAGGUUUUUGGGGGUGGGUGGGGGGGGUUAGGUUUUUUUAGGUUUUUGGGGGGUGGGGGGGGGGGGUUAGUGUAAUUUUGAUAAUUACCCUACAAUUUUGAUAAUUACCCUACACGACCAAAAUUACUCUACUUGAGCUUUUACAAAAUUACCCUACAGAAGUUCAAAAUUACUCUACUAGAGUAAUUUUGAAGUUGCUGAUAAUUACCAAAAUGCCACCGCCACUUUUUUUACUUUCUUUCACUUCGUACGUUUCGUACGAUAAUUUUAUUUUCACAAGAACUUAACUCUAAAAAUAUAACAUUAAGUAGAGGUGCGCAAAAACCUAACCAUUAACAAAAAAAAAUUAACCAAAGUUAACCGAAAACCGACUAAACAGACCAGUUAUGGUUAAGUGCACCUCCAUAACCAAGCCAUCAGUUAUGGUCAAGAAGUCUUGA